This 314-nucleotide unclassified non-coding RNA is filed under the name plant metagenome. RNAcentral's name for it is "partial contains 5.8S ribosomal RNA, internal transcribed spacer 2, and large subunit ribosomal RNA". The stretch from base 1 to 105 matches the Rfam family "5.8S ribosomal RNA", at positions 50 to 154 of the family's 154-position model. The record is from RNAcentral.
GAAAUGCGAUAAUUAAUGUGAAUUGCAGAAUUCAGUGAAUCAUCGAGUCUUUGAACGCACAUUGCGCCCCCUGGUAUUCCGGGGGGCAUGCCUGUCCGAGCGUCAUUGCUGCCCUCAAGCACGGCUUGUGUGUUGGGCUUCCGUCCCUGGCUACGGGGACGGGCCCAAAAGGCAGUGGCGGCACCAUGUCUGGUCCUCGAGCGUAUGGGGCUUUGUCACCCGCUCCCGUAGGUCCAGCUGGCAGCUAGCCUCGCAACCAAUCUUUUUAACCAGGUUGACCUCGGAUCAGGUAGGGAUACCCGCUGAACUUAAGC